GUACUAGGAAAAGAACUGUGUUUUCUCCCUAAGUACAUCACCAUCUUCUGUCCCUUCCACCAGCUAGCUAGCAGGGAGCACAGGAUGUGCUCAAAUGACUCAGGACUUCUUCCUAGAAGUGAAUGGAGCAAGAGUCAUGGUGCAUGGAUGUAAUGGAAAAUCAUCUGCAAGAAGCAAUGGACAUAAUGAAUUCAGAAAAGCAUCUACAGAUACAAAGUGAAGUGAUUGGAGACUCUGACCUUGUGAGUUCUGAAUGGUGGGGAGACCAAGCAUCCUGGGCAGCCUGGUAUCUCAAUUUUGUGGCCAGACCAGCACUGAUGCCCCAAAGAACAAAUAAUUACCUUUGGCAGUGGUCCAGUCCAGUUGCAGCCAAGAUAAAAAUUCUUCUGGAAGUUAUUCACAUUUGGACAGGAAGUUGGUGGUACCAACCAUAUGGAUAAACUGAGCUGAGUCUAAGCAUACUCUCCCUAGAGACCAAAGUGGGCUGGAGAAGCAUGUGCUUUCUAAGUAUUAUGAGAGAUAUUUGUAAUUUUGUAUGUGCUCAAAUUAAACAUCUCUUUAUAAGAGCUGAUUAAUUUAAAGUAGUUGAAUGGAUCUGGGGUGCUAGUUAUAUACCUCACAGAAGGAAAGAAUACAGCCAAUAGAAGUCUUUCCUGGGUAAUUGUCCUGGCCAUGAGUGAACUAGAGUUUACAUUAGCACUUAAUGGUGUUUGGGUAGGGAAGGUCAGAUGGAUUUAUAUGGAAAUCAGUUAGUCAUUAAGCAUUAUUAAACAUAGAUUAAAUGCCUACUAAGCAUCAGCCAUUGUGCUAGGGACUGGGGAGGAG
RNAcentral lists this long non-coding RNA (825 nucleotides) under Monodelphis domestica (gray short-tailed opossum). RNAcentral's name for it is "lncRNA (ENSMODG00000035757.2)". Lineage: Eukaryota; Metazoa; Chordata; Mammalia; Didelphimorphia; Didelphidae. The record is from RNAcentral.